AGCGUACACGGUGGAUGCCCUGGCAGUCAGAGGCGAUGAAGGACGUGCUAAUCUGCGAUAAGCGUCGGUAAGGUGAUAUGAACCGUUAUAACCGGCGAUUUCCGAAUGGGGAAACCCAGUGUGUUUCGACACACUAUCAUUAACUGAAUCCAUAGGUUAAUGAGGCGAACCGGGGGAACUGAAACAUCUAAGUACCCCGAGGAAAAGAAAUCAACCGAGAUUCCCCCAGUAGCGGCGAGCGAACGGGGAGCAGCCCAGAGCCUGAAUCAGUGUGUGUGUUAGUGGAAGCGUCUGGAAAGGCGCGCGAUACAGGGUGACAGCCCCGUACACAAAAAUGCACAUGCUGUGAGCUCGAUGAGUAGGGCGGGACACGUGGUAUCCUGUCUGAAUAUGGGGGGACCAUCCUCCAAGGCUAAAUACUCCUGACUGACCGAUAGUGAACCAGUACCGUGAGGGAAAGGCGAAAAGAACCCCGGCGAGGGGAGUGAAAAAGAACCUGAAACCGUGUACGUACAAGCAGUGGGAGCACGCUUAGGCGUGUGACUGCGUACCUUUUGUAUAAUGGGUCAGCGACUUAUAUUCUGUAGCAAGGUUAACCGAAUAGGGGAGCCGAAGGGAAACCGAGUCUUAACUGGGCGUUAAGUUGCAGGGUAUAGACCCGAAACCCGGUGAUCUAGCCAUGGGCAGGUUGAAGGUUGGGUAACACUAACUGGAGGACCGAACCGACUAAUGUUGAAAAAUUAGCGGAUGACUUGUGGCUGGGGGUGAAAGGCCAAUCAAACCCGGAGAUAGCUGGUUCUCCCCGAAAGCUAUUUAGGUAGCGCCUCGUGAAUUCAUCUCCGGGGGUAGAGCACUGUUUCGGCAAGGGGGUCAUCCCGACUUACCAACCCGAUGCAAACUGCGAAUACCGGAGAAUGUUAUCACGGGAGACACACGGCGGGUGCUAACGUCCGUCGUGAAGAGGGAAACAACCCAGACCGCCAGCUAAGGUCCCAAAGUCAUGGUUAAGUGGGAAACGAUGUGGGAAGGCCCAGACAGCCAGGAUGUUGGCUUAGAAGCAGCCAUCAUUUAAAGAAAGCGUAAUAGCUCACUGGUCGAGUCGGCCUGCGCGGAAGAUGUAACGGGGCUAAACCAUGCACCGAAGCUGCGGCAGCGACGCUUAUGCGUUGUUGGGUAGGGGAGCGUUCUGUAAGCCUGUGAAGGUGUGCUGUGAGGCAUGCUGGAGGUAUCAGAAGUGCGAAUGCUGACAUAAGUAACGAUAAAGCGGGUGAAAAGCCCGCUCGCCGGAAGACCAAGGGUUCCUGUCCAACGUUAAUCGGGGCAGGGUGAGUCGACCCCUAAGGCGAGGCCGAAAGGCGUAGUCGAUGGGAAACAGGUUAAUAUUCCUGUACUUGGUGUUACUGCGAAGGGGGGACGGAGAAGGCUAUGUUGGCCGGGCGACGGUUGUCCCGGUUUAAGCGUGUAGGCUGGUUUUCCAGGCAAAUCCGGAAAAUCAAGGCUGAGGCGUGAUGACGAGGCACUACGGUGCUGAAGCAACAAAUGCCCUGCUUCCAGGAAAAGCCUCUAAGCAUCAGGUAACAUCAAAUCGUACCCCAAACCGACACAGGUGGUCAGGUAGAGAAUACCAAGGCGCUUGAGAGAACUCGGGUGAAGGAACUAGGCAAAAUGGUGCCGUAACUUCGGGAGAAGGCACGCUGAUAUGUAGGUGAAGUCCCUUGCGGAUGGAGCUGAAAUCAGUCGAAGAUACCAGCUGGCUGCAACUGUUUAUUAAAAACACAGCACUGUGCAAACACGAAAGUGGACGUAUACGGUGUGACGCCUGCCCGGUGCCGGAAGGUUAAUUGAUGGGGUUAGCGGUAACGCGAAGCUCUUGAUCGAAGCCCCGGUAAACGGCGGCCGUAACUAUAACGGUCCUAAGGUAGCGAAAUUCCUUGUCGGGUAAGUUCCGACCUGCACGAAUGGCGUAAUGAUGGCCAGGCUGUCUCCACCCGAGACUCAGUGAAAUUGAACUCGCUGUGAAGAUGCAGUGUACCCGCGGCAAGACGGAAAGACCCCGUGAACCUUUACUAUAGCUUGACACUGAACAUUGAGCCUUGAUGUGUAGGAUAGGUGGGAGGCUUUGAAGUGUGGACGCCAGUCUGCAUGGAGCCGACCUUGAAAUACCACCCUUUAAUGUUUGAUGUUCUAACGUUGACCCGUAAUCCGGGUUGCGGACAGUGUCUGGUGGGUAGUUUGACUGGGGCGGUCUCCUCCUAAAGAGUAACGGAGGAGCACGAAGGUUGGCUAAUCCUGGUCGGACAUCAGGAGGUUAGUGCAAUGGCAUAAGCCAGCUUGACUGCGAGCGUGACGGCGCGAGCAGGUGCGAAAGCAGGUCAUAGUGAUCCGGUGGUUCUGAAUGGAAGGGCCAUCGCUCAACGGAUAAAAGGUACUCCGGGGAUAACAGGCUGAUACCGCCCAAGAGUUCAUAUCGACGGCGGUGUUUGGCACCUCGAUGUCGGCUCAUCACAUCCUGGGGCUGAAGUAGGUCCCAAGGGUAUGGCUGUUCGCCAUUUAAAGUGGUACGCGAGCUGGGUUUAGAACGUCGUGAGACAGUUCGGUCCCUAUCUGCCGUGGGCGCUGGAGAACUGAGGGGGGCUGCUCCUAGUACGAGAGGACCGGAGUGGACGCAUCACUGGUGUUCGGGUUGUCAUGCCAAUGGCACUGCCCGGUAGCUAAAUGCGGAAGAGAUAAGUGCUGAAAGCAUCUAAGCACGAAACUUGCCCCGAGAUGAGUUCU
RNAcentral lists this ribosomal RNA (2775 nucleotides) under human gut metagenome. Its description in RNAcentral is "bacterial LSU rRNA". It matches the Rfam family "Bacterial large subunit ribosomal RNA". The record is from RNAcentral.